GUGGGGAAUAUUGCACAAUGGGGGAAACCCUGAUGCAGCGACGCCGCGUGAGUGAAGAAGUAUUUCGGUAUGUAAAGCUCUAUCAGCAGGGAAGAAGAAAGACGGUACCUGACUAAGAAGCCCCGGCUAACUACGUGCCAGCAGCCGCGGUAAUACGUAGGGGGCAAGCGUUAUCCGGAUUUACUGGGUGUAAAGGGAGCGUAGACGGCGGAGCAAGUCUGAAGUGAAAGCCCCGGGCUUAACCCGGGAACUGCUUUGGAAACUGUACUGCUGGAGUGCUGGAGAGGUAAGCGGAAUUCCUAGUGUAGCGGUGAAAUGCGUAGAUAUUAGGAGGAACACCAGUGGCGAAGGCGGCUUACUGGACAGUCACUGACGUUGAGGCUCGAAAGCGUGGGGAGCAAACAGG
RNAcentral lists this ribosomal RNA (406 nucleotides) under uncultured bacterium. RNAcentral's name for it is "bacterial SSU rRNA". It matches the Rfam family "Bacterial small subunit ribosomal RNA", at positions 354 to 776 of the family's 1533-position model. The record is from RNAcentral.